CAGGAGAGACCCUGGCCUGGAGGGAGGAGCAGGGAUUCUGAAGGCCUUUGGAACAAGCCUGUGAGAGUGGAGGAUAAACCAGAAAGGGAGACAUAAAGGAGACUUAAUUAGAUCAUGGAACCCUUUCUUAAGCAGUUCAGCAUCUUAAUUUCUGGCAUCCAUGGCUGUGGCUCCGGAGCAGCAGCGAGCAUCCCGAGCCGUGCAGGCAGCGAGCUGCAGGAUCCAGCCCCUCUUUGACAAUGAUUGCGGCUGACACUGACAAGCACUCACACCCCAUUCCCGGGCUCUUUUUG
This is a long non-coding RNA of Passer domesticus (house sparrow), 293 nucleotides long. RefSeq lists it as uncharacterized. The record is from RefSeq and is a predicted model, not a curated record. The transcript has 3 exons. Lineage: Eukaryota; Metazoa; Chordata; Aves; Passeriformes; Passeridae.